GAUGAACGCUGGCGGCGUGCCUAACACAUGCAAGUCGAGCGAGGGUUUGCUCAGUAUUGAGUAUUCUAAAACUAGAAUGUUCAAUUCUGAGCAAAACCAAGCGGCGGACGGGUGAGUAACGCGUGGGUAACCUGCCCUAUACACAUGGAUAACAUACUGAAAAGUUUACUAAUACAUGAUAAUAUAUAUUUGCGGCAUCGCAGAUAUAUCAAAGUGUUAGCGGUAUAGGAUGGACCCGCGUCUGAUUAGCUAGUUGGUGAGAUAACUGCCCACCAAGGCGACGAUCAGUAGCCGACCUGAGAGGGUGAUCGGCCACAUUGGAACUGAGACACGGUCCAAACUCCUACGGGAGGCAGCAGUGGGGAAUAUUGCACAAUGGGCGAAAGCCUGAUGCAGCAACGCCGCGUGAACGAUGAAGGUCUUCGGAUCGUAAAGUUCUGUUGCAGGGGAAGAUAAUGACGGUACCCUGUGAGGAAGCCCCGGCUAACUACGUGCCAGCAGCCGCGGUAAUACGUAGGGGGCUAGCGUUAUCCGGAUUUACUGGGCGUAAAGGGUGCGUAGGUGGUCCUUCAAGUCGGUGGUUAAAGGCUACGGCUCAACCGUAGUAAGCCGCCGAAACUGGAGGACUUGAGUGCAGGAGAGGAAAGUGGAAUUCCCAGUGUAGCGGUGAAAUGCGUAGAUAUUGGGAGGAACGCCAGUAGCGAAGGCGGCUUUCUGGACUGCAACUGACACUGAGGCACGAAAGCGUGGGUAGCAAACAGG
Molecule: ribosomal RNA, 762 nt
Filed under: uncultured Peptostreptococcus sp.
Lineage: Bacteria; Bacillati; Bacillota; Clostridia; Peptostreptococcales; Peptostreptococcaceae
Description: bacterial SSU rRNA
Rfam family: Bacterial small subunit ribosomal RNA
Source: RNAcentral